UACGGGGGGGGCAAGCGUUGUUCGGAAUUACUGGGCGUAAAGGGCGUGUAGGUGGCCAACUAAGUCCGACGUGAAAUCCCCAGGCUUAACCUGGGAACUGCGUCGGAUACUGGAUGGCUUGAAUUCAGGAGAGGGAUGCAGAAUUCCAGGUGUAGCGGUGAAAUGCGUAGAUAUCGGGAGGAACACCAGUGGCGAAGGCGGCUCUCUGGGCCAUACCUGACGCUGAGACGCGAAAGCGUGGGGAGCGAACCGG
This 253-nucleotide ribosomal RNA is filed under the name uncultured bacterium. RNAcentral's name for it is "partial 16S ribosomal RNA". It matches the Rfam family "Bacterial small subunit ribosomal RNA", at positions 524 to 776 of the family's 1533-position model. The record is from RNAcentral.